UACGGGGGGGGCAAGCGUUGUUCGGAAUUACUGGGCGUAAAGCGCGCGUAGGCGGCUUUUCAAGUCGGACGUGAAAGCCCCGGGCUUAACCCGGGAAUGGCGCUCGAUACUGUUGAGCUAGAGUGUGGAAGGGGCUACUGGAAUUCUCGGUGUAGCGGUGAAAUGCGUAGAUAUCGAGAGGAACACCUGCGGCGAAGGCGGGUUGCUGGGCUGACACUGACGCUGAAGUGCGAAAGCUGGGGGAGCGAACGGG
RNAcentral lists this ribosomal RNA (253 nucleotides) under uncultured bacterium. RNAcentral's name for it is "partial 16S ribosomal RNA". It matches the Rfam family "Bacterial small subunit ribosomal RNA", at positions 524 to 776 of the family's 1533-position model. The record is from RNAcentral.